AUCGCUUCUUCGGCCUUUUGCCCAGAUCAAGUGUGUAUCUGUUCUUAUCAGUUUAAUAUCUGACAUCGCCCCCAUCAGACUACAUAUUAAUGGAUUUUCAACAGGAUUGGUCGGGCUUACCCGUUCCAUCACGCAUCGACUGUGCACAGAAAAUUGAAUGGUGCACACUUU
This 171-nucleotide small nuclear RNA is filed under the name Salmo salar (Atlantic salmon). RNAcentral's name for it is "U2 spliceosomal RNA (ENSSSAG00000092514.1)". It matches the Rfam family "U2 spliceosomal RNA". Rfam says of the family: U2 is a small nuclear RNA (snRNA) component of the spliceosome (involved in pre-mRNA splicing). Complementary binding between U2 snRNA (in an area lying towards the 5' end but 3' to hairpin I) and the branchpoint sequence (BPS) of the intron results the bulging out of an unpaired adenosine, on the BPS, which initiates a nucleophilic attack at the intronic 5' splice site, thus starting the first of two transesterification reactions that mediate splicing. Lineage: Eukaryota; Metazoa; Chordata; Actinopteri; Salmoniformes; Salmonidae. The record is from RNAcentral.